AGCAGCAGCCACGGUAAUACGAAGGGGGCUAGCGUUGUUCGGAUUUACUGGGCGUAAAGGGCGCGUAGGCGGACUGAUAAGUCAGGGGUGAAAUCCCAAGGCUCAACCUUGGAACUGCCUUUGAUACUGUUUGUCUUGAGUUCGAGAGAGGUAAGUGGAACUGCGAGUGUAGAGGUGAAAUUCGUAGAUAUUCGCAAGAACACCAGUGGCGAAGGCGGCUUACUGGCUCGAAACUGACGCUGAGGCGCGAAAGCGUGGGGAGCACACAGGAUUAGAUACCCCAGUAGUCCCUGUCUCUUAUAC
RNAcentral lists this ribosomal RNA (303 nucleotides) under uncultured bacterium. RNAcentral's name for it is "partial 16S ribosomal RNA". It matches the Rfam family "Bacterial small subunit ribosomal RNA", at positions 507 to 807 of the family's 1533-position model. The record is from RNAcentral.